Non-coding RNA from Vicia faba (fava bean), 237 nucleotides. The record is from the annotation of a GenBank genome assembly. Lineage: Eukaryota; Viridiplantae; Streptophyta; Magnoliopsida; Fabales; Fabaceae.
AUGCCCAACCCACGACAACUCUGUAUCACAACUGCACUACAUCUUCAUCAUGCUCCUAUAUCUCUGAACAAUUCUUCAUCACAAAUUCUUUAUCUACAUAACAACACCAUUGUACCUCCAAUCAUCUUCAUCACAUUAAUCAUCGCAUUCAACAUCAAUAUCAAAGCUUCAACAAUCUGCAAUUCUGAAUUCGCAACAUUAACAACAAUUCACGCGUUGCCAAAGAUCGAUGAGUGA